RNAcentral lists this ribosomal RNA (253 nucleotides) under uncultured bacterium. Its description in RNAcentral is "partial 16S ribosomal RNA". It matches the Rfam family "Bacterial small subunit ribosomal RNA", at positions 524 to 776 of the family's 1533-position model. The record is from RNAcentral.
UACGAAUGGGGCAAGCGUUGUUCGGAAUCACUGGGCUUAAAGCGUGCGUAGGCGGCUAUGAAAGUCAGGAGUGAAAUCCCAGGGCUUAACCCUGGAAUUGCUUUUGAAACUCCAUAGCUAGAAUCCGGGAGAGGUUAGCAGAAUUCCGAGUGUAGAGGUGAAAUUCGCAGAUAUUCGGAGGAAUACCAGUGGCGUAGGCGGCUAACUGGACCGGCAUUGACGCUGAGACGCGAAAGCGUGGGGAGCAAACAGG